RNAcentral lists this ribosomal RNA (388 nucleotides) under uncultured bacterium. Its description in RNAcentral is "bacterial SSU rRNA". It matches the Rfam family "Bacterial small subunit ribosomal RNA", at positions 28 to 417 of the family's 1533-position model. The record is from RNAcentral.
GACGAACGCUGGCGGCGUGCUUAACACAUGCAAGUCGAGCGGUAGGGCCCUUUCGGGGGUACACGAGCGGCGAACGGGUGAGUAACACGUGGGUGACCUGCCCUCAGCUCUGGGAUAAGCCUGGGAAACCGGGUCUAAUACUGGAUAUGACUCCAUGACGCAUGCUGUGGGGUGGAAAGCCUUGUGCGGCUGAGGAUGGGCCCGCGGCCUAUCAGCUUGUUGGUGGGGUGAUGGCCUACCAAGGCGACGACGGGUAGCCGGCCUGAGAGGGCGACCGGCCACACUGGGACUGAGACACGGCCCAGACUCCUACGGGAGGCAGCAGUGGGGAAUCUUGCGCAAUGGGCGAAAGCCUGACGCAGCGACGCCGCGUGAGGGAUGACGGCCU